GGGUUGUGAGGUUAAGCGACUAAGCGUACACGGUGGAUGCCCUGGCAGUCAGAGGCGAUGAAGGACGUGCUAAUCUGCGAAAAGCGUCGGUAAGGUGAUAUGAACCGUUAUAACCGGCGAUGUCCGAAUGGGGAAACCCAGUGCAAUUCGUUGCACUAUCGUUAACUGAAUACAUAGGUUAACGAGGCGAACCGGGGGAACUGAAACAUCUAAGUACCCCGAGGAAAAGAAAUCAACCGAGAUUCCCCCAGUAGCGGCGAGCGAACGGGGAGCAGCCCAGAGUCUGAAUCAGCUUGUGUGUUAGUGGAACGGUCUGGAAAGUCCGACGGUACAGGGUGAUAGUCCCGUACACCAAAAUGCACAGGCUGUGAACUCGAAGAGUAGGGCGGGACACGUGGUAUCCUGUCUGAAUAUGGGGGGACCAUCCUCCAAGGCUAAAUACUCCUGACUGACCGAUAGUGAACCAGUACCGUGAGGGAAAGGCGAAAAGAACCCCGGCGAGGGGAGUGAAAAAGAACCUGAAACCGUGUACGUACAAGCAGUGGGAGCACCUUCGGGUGUGACUGCGUACCUUUUGUAUAAUGGGUCAGCGACUUAUAUUCUGUAGCAAGGUUAACCGUAUAGGGGAGCCGCAGGGAAACCGAGUCUUAACUGGGCGUUAAGUUGCAGGGUAUAGACCCGAAACCCGGUGAUCUAGCCAUGGGCAGGUUGAAGGUUGGGUAACACUAACUGGAGGACCGAACCGACUAAUGUUGAAAAAUUAGCGGAUGACUUGUGGCUGGGGGUGAAAGGCCAAUCAAACCGGGAGAUAGCUGGUUCUCCCCGAAAGCUAUUUAGGUAGCGCCUCGUGAACUCAUCUUCGGGGGUAGAGCACUGUUUCGGCUAGGGGGUCAUCCCGACUUACCAACCCGAUGCAAACUACGAAUACCGAAGAAUGUUAUCACGGGAGACACACGGCGGGUGCUAACGUCCGUCGUGAAGAGGGAAACAACCCAGACCGCCAGCUAAGGUCCCAAAGUCAUGGUUAAGUGGGAAACGAUGUGGGAAGGCACAGACAGCCAGGAUGUUGGCUUAGAAGCAGCCAUCAUUUAAAGAAAGCGUAAUAGCUCACUGGUCGAGUCGGCCUGCGCGGAAGAUGUAACGGGGCUAAACCAUGCACCGAAGCUGCGGCAGCGACACUAUGUGUUGUUGGGUAGGGGAGCGUUCUGUAAGCCUGCGAAGGUGUGCUGUGAGGCAUGCUGGAGGUAUCAGAAGUGCGAAUGCUGACAUAAGUAACGAUAAAGCGGGUGAAAAGCCCGCUCGCCGGAAGACCAAGGGUUCCUGUCCAACGUUAAUCGGGGCAGGGUGAGUCGACCCCUAAGGCGAGGCCGAAAGGCGUAGUCGAUGGGAAACAGGUUAAUAUUCCUGUACUUGGUGUUACUGCGAAGGGGGGACGGAGAAGGCUAUGUUAGCCGGGCGACGGUUGUCCCGGUUUAAGCAUGUAGGCUGAUUGUCCAGGCAAAUCCGGAUAAUCAAGGCUGAGGUGUGAUGACGAGGCACUACGGUGCUGAAGUAACAAAUGCCCUGCUUCCAGGAAAAGCCUCUAAGCAUCAGGUAACAUCAAAUCGUACCCCAAACCGACACAGGUGGUCAGGUAGAGAAUACCAAGGCGCUUGAGAGAACUCGGGUGAAGGAACUAGGCAAAAUGGUGCCGUAACUUCGGGAGAAGGCACGCUGGUGUGUAGGUGAAGUCCCUGCGGAUGGAGCUGAGACCAGUCGAAGAUACCAGCUGGCUGCAACUGUUUAUUAAAAACACAGCACUGUGCAAACACGAAAGUGGACGUAUACGGUGUGACGCCUGCCCGGUGCCGGAAGGUUAAUUGAUGGGGUUAUCCGUAAGGAGAAGCUCUUGAUCGAAGCCCCGGUAAACGGCGGCCGUAACUAUAACGGUCCUAAGGUAGCGAAAUUCCUUGUCGGGUAAGUUCCGACCUGCACGAAUGGCGUAAUGAUGGCCAGGCUGUCUCCACCCGAGACUCAGUGAAAUUGAACUCGCUGUGAAGAUGCAGUGUACCCGCGGCAAGACGGAAAGACCCCGUGAACCUUUACUAUAGCUUGACACUGAACAUUGAGCCUUGAUGUGUAGGAUAGGUGGGAGGCUUUGAAGCGUGGACGCCAGUCUGCGUGGAGCCAACCUUGAAAUACCACCCUUUAAUGUUUGAUGUUCUAACGUUGGCCCCUUACCGGGGUUGCGGACAGUGUCUGGUGGGUAGUUUGACUGGGGCGGUCUCCUCCCAAAGCGUAACGGAGGAGCACGAAGGUUAGCUAAUCCUGGUCGGACAUCAGGAGGUUAGUGCAAUGGCAUAAGCUAGCUUGACUGCGAGCGUGACGGCGCGAGCAGGUGCGAAAGCAGGUCAUAGUGAUCCGGUGGUUCUGAAUGGAAGGGCCAUCGCUCAACGGAUAAAAGGUACUCCGGGGAUAACAGGCUGAUACCGCCCAAGAGUUCAUAUCGACGGCGGUGUUUGGCACCUCGAUGUCGGCUCAUCACAUCCUGGGGCUGAAGUAGGUCCCAAGGGUAUGGCUGUUCGCCAUUUAAAGUGGUACGCGAGCUGGGUUUAGAACGUCGUGAGACAGUUCGGUCCCUAUCUGCCGUGGGCGCUGGAGAAUUGAGGGGGGCUGCUCCUAGUACGAGAGGACCGGAGUGGACGCAUCACUGGUGUUCGGGUUGUCAUGCCAAUGGCACUGCCCGGUAGCUAAAUGCGGAAGAGAUAAGUGCUGAAAGCAUCUAAGCACGAAACUUGCCCCGAGAUGAGUUCUCCCUGAGACUUUAAGUCUCCUGAAGGAACGUUAAAGACGAUGACGUUGAUAGGCCGGGUGUGUAAGCGCAGCGAUGCGUUGAGCUAACCGGUACUAAUGAACCGUGAGGCUUAACCUUACAACGCCGAAG
Molecule: ribosomal RNA, 2923 nt
Filed under: Klebsiella pneumoniae
Lineage: Bacteria; Pseudomonadati; Pseudomonadota; Gammaproteobacteria; Enterobacterales; Enterobacteriaceae
Description: 23S ribosomal RNA
Rfam family: Bacterial large subunit ribosomal RNA
Source: RNAcentral